AGACCCAGCCAAUCACUUAGCUCCUCAUAACAAGUCUAACUGGCUCUGGGAAGCUGGAAGGGCUGCGCUGGAACACAUAGAUGAGAUAUUCCACACAAUAAUCUGCUUAUCUGGAAUCGCUUUGCCUGAAGAGGCCAGAGGAAAAAGCACAGCUUCAUUGUCUCGGGGCAAGAGGUGCAGGUGAUCUGGGAUCAACGCGGCCGCACCUGGAGCAGGAUAUUUUCCUGGCUUGGCAAUUCCGACCGUGCCGGCAAUUAAAGGACCAGAGCCAGCCCAGCCGCCAAAGGGCAACUCCGGCAGCCAAGGCUGAGCACUGCUGCCUAUGGUGACCAUGUGAGAAUGGAAACUUCUCAGGAAGCCACUCGUUAGAAUUGCUGUCUUUUUACUCACAUUAACAUAGAUUAUUUAGUCUGAAAUGGAAAACCAUCUCUUAAGGGGCUUGCUAGAAAGAAAGCCAAGAACCAAGAAAUAACCCACCAGUGAACACAUCAGGCCUCAUGGAGCAUGACAACAACGAUGUACAGAAGGCAAGCAGGGCUGGGAAUCCACCGAGUUACCACCAUCUCCUCCCCGGAGCAGGUCAGCCAGGGUGCACAGUUCUGUGCCACGUUCUCUGCAGGGGCUGCCACGCAUGGCUACACAACUUUUACAACCACCCAUGAGACCCAGCACUGUGGCUCUGUAAGCCUGCCUGCCCCCAUCGAAGGCAUAGGCCACCAUCGAGCAAGGAAAGAUUCCUCACUCCCUCACUCACCCACAAGAGUGGUAAAUGCUGGCCGGCGCCGCAGCUCAAUAGGCUAAUCCUCCGCCUUGCGGCACCGGCACACCAGGUUCUAGUCCCGGUCGGGGCGCUGGAUUCUGUCCCGGUUGCCCCUCUUCCAGGCCAGCUCUCUGCUGUGGCCAGGGAGUGCAGUGGAGGAUGGCCCAAGUGCUUGGGCCCUGCACCGCCAUGGGAGACCAGGAUAAACACCUGGCUCCUGGCUUCGGAUCAGCACGGUGCGUCGGCUGUGGUGGCCAUUGGAAGGUGAACCAACGGCAAAGGAAGACCUUUCUCUCUGUCUCUCUCUCUCACUGUCCACUCUGCCUGUCAAAAAUAAAUAAAUAAAUAAAUAAAUAAAUAAAUAAAGAGUGGUAAAUGCCACACACUGUCCCUCAAAAGCAGUUUAGCCAUGGAUGCAUUUGUAAUCAGCAGCAACUACAGCCAGUCGGGUGGCUCUGGGUCGCACGGUCCAUAGGACUUUGUUCUUUUUGUUUAUUUAGUUUUUGCCAUGAGAAUGAAAUCACAGAAAUCAGAGGAGUGGAAGGAAAACAGAUUAUGCGUGAGUCACAUGUGCGCCAUAAAACACUGUGGCUCUUGAACUUCAUGAGUGAAAGGAUUUCCCAAGGUGCUUGUUUAUGGGGUAGCUCCCGGGCUCUCUCUACAGGACACUGAUGCCAUAGACCCGGCAUGAAGACCAGCAAUCUGCAGUUAUGUGCCCACCUCCAUCCCAUCCCCAUGCUUGUAAGUCAGUCACCCUCAGAAUACUUCUUGAGAAAUAUCAAAACAGGGCAUGCAAACUGCUUAACACAAAGUCUGGAAUGUUCCAAUUUCUCCACAUUUUCUAACUAUAAUUAUAAAGAAUCAGAAAUGGCCCCAAACCCAUACAUUCUACUUUGACUUGACUUAUUGCUAAGUUAAGGCUGUACACAGGUGUGGCAGUGUGGUUGCAAGCCAGAUGUUGUAGUGCAGGGAAGAGAAGUACAAAGAUAGACACAGGCGAGGACAGGGACAGCCUUGCAAGAAUUUUCAACCUCUGAUGAGAACCACUGAGCCCCGGGUACUCCCUAUUCCAUAGCAUCCAUAGCUCCGAAGAGAUGGACUAUUUGAAAUAAUUACCUACAGACUAGAAAGUCCAAAAGAACAAGAACACUCAAGAUAACUGUAUUUUUCAUUCUUUGCUUCAGACACAGAAAGCAAAGCCAAAGGUUCCUCGUUUAUUUUGUAGAACACAGCAGAUCCAUGUGAACAAGGAGUUUCACAAUGGCGGAGUCCAGCCGUGUUAGCUCCCUCUAGGAGCACCCAACUCCAAACCUGAUUGGCUGUUGGGCUCCUCUGAGUCCUGGCUCUUCCCCUUUGCUGAGGAUGUGGGUGGGCCCAGCAGGU
Oryctolagus cuniculus (rabbit) is the source of this 2143-nucleotide non-coding RNA. NCBI's taxonomy places the organism in Eukaryota, Metazoa, Chordata, Mammalia, Lagomorpha, Leporidae. The record is from RefSeq and is a predicted model, not a curated record.